UGCCAGCCGCCGCGGUAAUACGUAGGGAGCAAGCGUUGUUCGGAAUCACUGGGCAUAAAGCGCACGUAGGCGGUUUUGUAAGUCAGAUGUGAAAGCCCCUGGCUCAACCAGGGAACUGCAUUUGAAACUACCAGACUUGAGGGCGGCAGAGGAGAGUGGAACUCGUGGUGGAGCGGUGAAAUGCGUAGAUAUCACGAGGAACACCGGUGGCGAAAGCGACUCUCUGGUCCAUUUCUGACGCUGAGGUGCGAAAGCCAGGGUAGCGAACGGGAUUAGAUA
This 279-nucleotide ribosomal RNA is filed under the name uncultured bacterium. RNAcentral describes it as "partial 16S ribosomal RNA". It matches the Rfam family "Bacterial small subunit ribosomal RNA", at positions 506 to 784 of the family's 1533-position model. The record is from RNAcentral.